This 1185-nucleotide long non-coding RNA is filed under the name Lepisosteus oculatus (spotted gar). RNAcentral's name for it is "lncRNA (ENSLOCG00000022389.1)". The stretch from base 687 to 758 matches the Rfam family "Small nucleolar RNA SNORD26". The record is from RNAcentral. Lineage: Eukaryota; Metazoa; Chordata; Actinopteri; Semionotiformes; Lepisosteidae.
AUGCUCCAUGCUCCAUGCUCCAUGCUCCAUGCUCCAUGCUCCAUGCUCCAUGCUCCAUGCUCCAUGCUNGCUGGCUCGGGCCCGGACUCGGGGUGCAGGGCACUGGGGGGCGCGCAGUUUCUCCGUGAUGAUCCUCCACAGACCUGUCCUGACGGCGCAGUGAUUGCACUUUCUGAUCUGACGAGAGACGGGCGCCCCGCCGGGAGCCGGCCCCGCGCCCACGUGGUCUCCCCGAGGGCCCUCAGCCGGUGGCGUUAUAUAGCGCCUUGCAGCGCACGGGCUAGCUCCCCGGGGCCACGGGGGUAGACUCCCUGGCUGUGCCGUUCCGCAGAGGAGGGCGGCGGUCAGUGUAGUUUGGAGGCCGUGGAGCAGCUGCGGGUCUCGGGUGUGUCCGGACUCGUGAGCAGGGGGUCGGGCCUGGAGCACGUGUCGGUCCCGGGUCCGAGGACUGAUCUCUCUCUCUUUCUCUUCCAGCGCCUCCUGGUCAGUGUGCGGCCUGCAGGUAAGACUGCCCGUCGUGUCCCGCACCGAUAGGCCGAGGGCCGCUCCGAGUGUGCCCCGCUGUGACACGAGCACGGCCUGGAGGGGCUGUGGUCCGGUCUGGCCCGGGGGUCCGGCUGUGGGCCGGUUUGACCUGGGGUUCUGGUGCCGUGCCGGGGGCGCUGGCCCCUCUGUGUGCCUCAGUGCUGCGGUGAUGUGGAUGAAUUCUCUCUUCCUGACUGAUCGUGGAGAAAAUCCUUUACCAGAUUCUGAGCAGCGCCGGGGCCUGGAGGGCUCCAGUUGGGUCCGGGCCGGGUGUUACCGCAGAGCGCUCUGAGACCGGGGGCUGGGCUGGGGGGUUGCAGUCAGUUCAACUCACGGUGCUUUGUUAGCAUGACCGAUGGGAACAAUCAGUGUUGCCAAAGCAAAUGAAAGUAAUGAAAUUCACAUAAAAUAAAAUCUCCAGACGUUUACAACAGACAUUAUAAAAUAUUGACAUAUACUGUAGACAGGAGGAGCAUUGUGUAGUGGUCUCUCAGGCCUGGUGGGGGCGCUGUCUGAGCUGGAAUAAAAGCCUGUGCCCUCCGGGUGGGGUCAGGCUGCUCAGGGCUGGACUGAUCCUCAUCUCCUCCUCUCUUCCAGAUGUGCUCGAACCCGCAGCUCCUCGGGGUUACUGCUGGCUCUCAGGUAAGCCCGCGGGCGGUC